RNAcentral lists this ribosomal RNA (446 nucleotides) under uncultured bacterium. RNAcentral describes it as "partial 16S ribosomal RNA". It matches the Rfam family "Bacterial small subunit ribosomal RNA", at positions 329 to 792 of the family's 1533-position model. The record is from RNAcentral.
UGCCAGACUCCUACGGGAGGCAGCAGUGGGGAAUAUUGCACAAUGGGGGAAACCCUGAUGCAGCGACGCCGCGUGAGCGAUGAAGUAUUUCGGUAUGUAAAGCUCUAUCAGCAGGGAAGAAAAUGACGGUACCUGACUAAGAAGCCCCGGCUAACUACGUGCCAGCAGCCGCGGUAAUACGUAGGGGGCAAGCGUUAUCCGGAUUUACUGGGUGUAAAGGGAGCGUAGACGGCGGUGCAAGCCAGAUGUGAAAGCCCGGGGCUCAACCCCGGGACUGCUCUUGGAACUGCGCGGCUGGAGUGCAGGAGGGGCAGGCGGAAUUCCUGGUGUAGCGGUGAAAUGCGUAGAUAUCAGGAGGAACGCCGGUGGCGAAGGCGGCCUGCUGGACUGCGACUGACGUUGAGGCCCGAAAGCGUGGGGAGCAAACAGGAUUAGAUACCCUCGUA